This 1343-nucleotide ribosomal RNA is filed under the name uncultured bacterium. RNAcentral describes it as "16S ribosomal RNA". It matches the Rfam family "Bacterial small subunit ribosomal RNA", at positions 28 to 1378 of the family's 1533-position model. The record is from RNAcentral.
GACGAACGCUGGCGGCGUGCUUAACACAUGCAAGUCGAACGGAAAGGCCCUGCUUUUGUGGGGUGCUCGAGUGGCGAACGGGUGAGUAACACGUGAGUAACCUGCCCUUGACUUUGGGAUAACUUCAGGAAACUGGGGCUAAUACCGGAUAGGAGCUCCUGCUGCAUGGUGGGGGUUGGAAAGUUUCGGCGGUUGGGGAUGGACUCGCGGCUUAUCAGCUUGUUGGUGGGGUAGUGGCUUACCAAGGCUUUGACGGGUAGCCGGCCUGAGAGGGUGACCGGCCACAUUGGGACUGAGAUACGGCCCAGACUCCUACGGGAGGCAGCAGUGGGGAAUAUUGCACAAUGGGCGGAAGCCUGAUGCAGCAACGCCGCGUGCGGGAUGACGGCCUUCGGGUUGUAAACCGCUUUCGCCUGUGACGAAGCGUGAGUGACGGUAAUGGGUAAAGAAGCACCGGCUAACUACGUGCCAGCAGCCGCGGUGAUACGUAGGGUGCGAGCGUUGUCCGGAUUUAUUGGGCGUAAAGGGCUCGUAGGUGGUUGAUCGCGUCGGAAGUGUAAUCUUGGGGCUUAACCCUGAGCGUGCUUUCGAUACGGGUUGACUUGAGGAAGGUAGGGGAGAAUGGAAUUCCUGGUGGAGCGGUGGAAUGCGCGGAUAUCAGGAGGAACACCAGUGGCGAAGGCGGUUCUCUGGGCCUUUCCUGACGCUGAGGAGCGAAAGCGUGGGGAGCGAACAGGCUUAGAUACCCUGGUAGUCCACGCCGUAAACGGUGGGUACUAGGUGUGGGGUCCAUUCCACGGGUUCCGUGCCGUAGCUAACGCUUUAAGUACCCCGCCUGGGGAGUACGGCCGCAAGGCUAAAACUCAAAGGAAUUGACGGGGCCCCGCACAAGCGGCGGAGCAUGCGGAUUAAUUCGAUGCAACGCGUAGAACCUUACCUGGGUUUGACAUGGAUCGGGAGUGCUCAGAGAUGGGUGUGCCUCUUUUGGGGUCGGUUCACAGGUGGUGCAUGGCUGUCGUCAGCUCGUGUCGUGAGAUGUUGGGUUAAGUCCCGCAACGAGCGCAACCCUUGUUCACUGUUGCCAGCACGUUAUGGUGGGGACUCAGUGGAGACCGCCGGGGUCAACUCGGAGGAAGGUGGGGAUGACGUCAAGUCAUCAUGCCCCUUAUGUCCAGGGCUUCACGCAUGCUACAAUGGCUGGUACAGAGAGUGGCGAGCCUGUGAGGGUGAGCGAAUCUCGGAAAGCCGGUCUCAGUUCGGAUUGGGGUCUGCAACUCGACCUCAUGAAGUCGGAGUCGCUAGUAAUCGCAGAUCAGCAACGCUGCGGUGAAUACGUUCCCGGG